Molecule: ribosomal RNA, 408 nt
Filed under: Verrucomicrobiota bacterium
Lineage: Bacteria; Pseudomonadati; Verrucomicrobiota
Description: Verrucomicrobia bacterium partial 16S ribosomal RNA
Rfam family: Bacterial small subunit ribosomal RNA
Source: RNAcentral
UGGGGAAUAUUGCACAAUGGGCGGAAGCCUGAUGCAGCGACGCCGCGUGAGGGAUGACGGCCUUCGGGUUGUAAACCUCUUUCAGUAGGGACGAAGCGUAAGUGACGGUACCUGCAGAAGAAGCCCCGGCUAACUACGUGCCAGCAGCCGCGGUAAUACGUAGGGGGCUAGCGUUAUCCGGAUUUACUGGGCGUAAAGGGUGCGUAGGUGGUCUUUCAAGUCGGUGGUUAAAGGCUACGGCUCAACCGUAGUUAGCCUCCGAAACUGGAAGACUUGAGUGCAGGAGAGGAAAGUGGAAUUCCCAGUGUAGCGGUGAAAUGCGUAGAUAUUGGGAGGAACACCAGUAGCGAAGGCGGCUUUCUGGACUGCAACUGACACUGAGGCACGAAAGCGUGGGUAGCAAACAGG